This 63-nucleotide transfer RNA is filed under the name Drabescus ineffectus. RNAcentral's name for it is "tRNA-Leu". The record is from RNAcentral. Lineage: Eukaryota; Metazoa; Arthropoda; Insecta; Hemiptera; Cicadellidae.
GCCAGUAUGGCAGAAUAGUGCAAUGAAUUUAAGAUUCAUAUAUAAAAUUUAUUUUUGCUGGAA